This 354-nucleotide ribosomal RNA is filed under the name uncultured soil bacterium. RNAcentral's name for it is "bacterial SSU rRNA". It matches the Rfam family "Bacterial small subunit ribosomal RNA", at positions 26 to 383 of the family's 1533-position model. The record is from RNAcentral.
AGAACGAACGCUGGCGGCGUGCUUAACACAUGCAAGUCGAGCGGUAAGGCCUUUCGGGGUACACGAGCGGCGAACGGGUGAGUAACACGUGGGUGAUCUGCCCUGCACUUCGGGAUAAGCCUGGGAAACUGGGUCUAAUACCGGAUAUGACCUCAGGUUGCAUGACUUGGGGUGAAAGAUCUAUCGGUGCAGGAUGGGCCCGCGGCCUAUCAGCUUGGUUGGUGGGUAAUGGCCUACCAAGGCGACGACGGGUAGCCGACUGAGAGGUGACCGGCCACGACUGGGACUGAGACACGGCCCAGACCUCCUACGGGAGCGAGCGAGUGGGGAAUAUGCACAAGUGGGACGAAAGCC